Molecule: ribosomal RNA, 503 nt
Filed under: uncultured bacterium
Lineage: Bacteria
Description: bacterial SSU rRNA
Rfam family: Bacterial small subunit ribosomal RNA
Source: RNAcentral
AGCGAACGUUAGCGGCGGGCCUAACACAUGCAAGUCGUACGAGAACGCUCCUUCGGGAGUUAUUAAAGUGGCGCACGGGUGAGUAACGCGUGGGUAACCCACCUUCGAAUCUGGGAUAACUCCGCGAAAGCGGUGCUAAUACCGGAUAAGACCACAGCCGUUUCGGCGGCAGAGGUAAAAGCUGACCUCUCCAUGGAAGUUAGCGUUCGAGGACGGGCCCGCGUCCUAUCAGCUUGUUGGUGGGGUAAAAGCCUACCAAGGCAGCGACGGGUAGCUGGUCUGAGAGGAUGAUCAGCCACACUGGAACUGGAACACGGUCCAGACUCCUACGGGAGGCAGCAGUGAGGAAUUUUGCGCAAUGGGGGAAACCCUGACGCAGCAACGCCGCGUGGGUGAAGAAGGCUUUCGGGUCGUAAAGCCCUGUCAGGUGGGAAGAACCGUUUCGAUACUAAUAAUGUCGAAGCCUGACGGUACCACCAGAGGAAGCACCGGCCAACUCCGUG